GUACGCUGGCGGCACGCCUAACACAUGCGAAGUCNAACGAAGUAGCAAUACUUAGUGGCAGACGGGUGAGUAACAUGUAGGUAUCUGCCCUUUGGCCUGGAAUAACACGAGGAAACUUGUGCUAAUACCGGAUAAGUCUUUACGGAGAAAGCUUUAUGCACCAUUGGAUGAGCCUGCACUUGAUUAGUUUGUUGGUGGGGUAAUGGCCUACCAAGACUGUGAUCAAUAGCUGAUUUGAGAGGAUGAUCAGCCACAUUGGGACUGAGACACGGCCCAAACUCCUACGGGAGGCAGCAGUGGGGAAUCUUGCACAAUGGAGGAAACUCUGAUGCAGCGAUGCCGCGUGAGUGAAGAAGGCCCUUGGGUUGUAAAGCUCUUUCGUCGGGGAAGAAAAUGACUGUACCCGAAUAAGAAGGUCCGGCUAACUUCGUGCCAGCAGCCGCGGUAAUACGAAGGGACCUAGCGUAGUUCGGAAUUACUGGGCUUAAAGAGUUCGUAGGUGGUUGAAAAAGUUAGUGGUGAAAUCCCAGAGCUUAACUCUGGAACUGCCAUUAAAACUUUUCAGCUAGAGUAUGAUAGAGGAAAGCAGAAUUUCUAGUGUAGAGGUGAAAUUCGUAGAUAUUAGAAAGAAUACCAAUUGCGAAGGCAGCUUUCUGGAUCAUUACUGACACUGAGGAACGAAAGCAUGGGUAGCGAAGAGGAUUAGAUACCCUCGUAGUCCAUGCCGUAAACGAUGUGUGUUAGACGUUGGAAAUUUAUUUUCAGUGUCGCAGGGAAACCGAUAAACACACCGCCUGGGGGAGUACGACCGCCAAGGUUAAAACUCAAAUGAAUUG
This 836-nucleotide ribosomal RNA is filed under the name uncultured bacterium. RNAcentral describes it as "bacterial SSU rRNA". It matches the Rfam family "Bacterial small subunit ribosomal RNA", at positions 31 to 912 of the family's 1533-position model. The record is from RNAcentral.